Molecule: non-coding RNA, 67 nt
Filed under: unclassified sequences
Description: lysM-Prevotella RNA
Rfam family: lysM-Prevotella RNA
Source: RNAcentral
CCGUUAGAAAGGGGCAUGAAAAAUCGGUCCCGUGCCUAUAAGGCAUCAGAGUUUGAAAUAAAAUAAC